Molecule: transfer RNA, 69 nt
Filed under: Fejervarya cancrivora (crab-eating frog)
Lineage: Eukaryota; Metazoa; Chordata; Amphibia; Anura; Dicroglossidae
Description: tRNA-His
Rfam family: tRNA
About the family: Transfer RNA (tRNA) molecules are approximately 80 nucleotides in length. Their secondary structure includes four short double-helical elements and three loops (D, anti-codon, and T loops).
Source: RNAcentral
GUGAAUGUAGUUUAAAUAAAACCCUAGAUUGUGAUUCUAGAAAUAAGAGCUAAUACCUCUUCAUCCACC